AAGUCGUAACAAAGGUGAACCUGCGCGAUCAUUAACACGUAUCCAACGUUAAAACAACCCCGUGAACUCAGCUGCCCGUGAAAGCAGCAAUCCCUGGUAACAUUGUUGACCAGCUUAUGAGUCAGGACCUCUGCAGAUUGUGAUAUUUUUUUGCUACGGUUGAGCGAUUGCAUCUAGACCAAGUAAUCAGUGUUCUGAAAGUGUCAUUGAUUGUGUAAGGAUGGCGCAGGCCCACACGGCCGGCGACCGGGUCACCGGGCUCUUCGCCGUCGCACGGCACCAACAACUGUUAACAAUGGAUAUCUUGAUUCUC
Molecule: unclassified non-coding RNA, 313 nt
Filed under: fungal sp.
Lineage: Eukaryota; Fungi
Description: partial internal transcribed spacer region
Source: RNAcentral